Molecule: ribosomal RNA, 539 nt
Filed under: Fusarium sp. Fs004TNPB1-TR
Lineage: Eukaryota; Fungi; Ascomycota; Sordariomycetes; Hypocreales; Nectriaceae
Description: eukaryotic LSU rRNA
Rfam family: 5.8S ribosomal RNA (bases 180-333)
Source: RNAcentral
UCCGUAGGGUGAACCUGCGGAGGGAUCAUUACCGAGUUUACAACUCCCAAACCCCUGUGAACAUACCAAUUGUUGCCUCGGCGGAUCAGCCCGCUCCCGGUAAAACGGGACGGCCCGCCAGAGGACCCCUAAACUCUGUUUCUAUAUGUAACUUCUGAGUAAAACCAUAAAUAAAUCAAAACUUUCAACAACGGAUCUCUUGGUUCUGGCAUCGAUGAAGAACGCAGCAAAAUGCGAUAAGUAAUGUGAAUUGCAGAAUUCAGUGAAUCAUCGAAUCUUUGAACGCACAUUGCGCCCGCCAGUAUUCUGGCGGGCAUGCCUGUUCGAGCGUCAUUUCAACCCUCAAGCCCAGCUUGGUGUUGGGACUCGCGAGUCAAAUCGCGUUCCCCAAAUUGAUUGGCGGUCACGUCGAGCUUCCAUAGCGUAGUAGUAAAACCCUCGUUACUGGUAAUCGUCGCGGCCACGCCGUUAAACCCCAACUUCUGAAUGUUGACCUCGGAUCAGGUAGGAAUACCCGCUCAACUUAAGCAUAUCAAUAA